RNAcentral lists this unclassified non-coding RNA (715 nucleotides) under Hevea brasiliensis (rubber tree). The record is from RNAcentral. Lineage: Eukaryota; Viridiplantae; Streptophyta; Magnoliopsida; Malpighiales; Euphorbiaceae.
AUUUAAUUGACAAUGUAACUUAUUACUGCGGAUACUUUCUAACCACAGCUAUCAAUCAGCCCUGAUACUGAUACAAAUUCAAGAAGAAACCUAACAAUUAUCUCAAAUUUACUAGAAAAUUCAGGUAAGAAAACCUGUCUUCUGCAAAAUAGCAUCUCGGACUUGCCUCAAAUCCCUCCCUUUCAACUUCCUCCCAGCUCCCUCAACCACAGAGGAUGCCAAAAUUGGUGUCUUUCUCGACGCAACAAUUUCAUGCGGUGGUAACACCUCACCACCGUCGACAUCAUCAUCAACAUCGUCGAAAUGCCUGCCUCUUCGGCGCGCUGCUGCUGACAUUACAGGUACAUUCACCGGUGCAGACUGGAGAUAUUUAACACGAUCCACUGGCGGCCGUUUAGGAAUUGUAGGAAUUAAACGAGCCGACGACGUAGAGGAAGACGAGGAGGAUGAAGAAACGGAGAGCAAAGCCUGCGCGUGGGACUCAGACUCCGGCAACGCGGCUAGGAUACCGAAAUGUUUGUGAUGGGAGAGAUGGUUAGGGGACCGAUGAUAAUUAGCGAUCGGACUUGUUGAAGUUGAAGGAGUGGAGUGUUGAAUUGCAUCGGAGGAUGCGUCAAAAAUGUCGUGCUCGCUGAGCUCAACUUCGGCGGCGGAAGUCGAAGCAGAGGGUUGGGAUUGUGAGUGAGCGGUGGAGAAAAUGCCGAGGAAACGAUCG